RNAcentral lists this long non-coding RNA (552 nucleotides) under Homo sapiens (human). Its description in RNAcentral is "HSALNT0166992". Lineage: Eukaryota; Metazoa; Chordata; Mammalia; Primates; Hominidae. The record is from RNAcentral.
AUUUAUAUAGGUGUGUCAUUGGAGCCCUAGAAGAGAAUGUUUUUCUUAAGUGUUAGCCUGAGGAGUAGCUGGGCUUCUGAACAAUUGGUUUGUAUAUGGAAUUAUAUCAUUAUAAAGACAUUUUUUUUUUUGUCUGCCUAGCUCUUUUCCUUUCUGAAGCUGCCCCUGAAUAAUGAUGCUUUCCUGGUGCGACUGUUAAUCACAUAGAUUUAAUUCCCCUGCCCAUGGGAGGGGAAUUGGCUAGAGAUUGUUUCCCACAUUGUCCUGAAUCUGGACUACAAUAAAACUAAAGGUUUAUUUCUAACGUAUCAAAAGAAACAGAAUCUCCUUCUCCUGGAUACAUGAUACAACACAGUUGUCUCUCAUGUCAGAAGUCAUGAUUACGAGAAUAGCACACUUUAGCCCAUAUCCUUGUACCCAGCACUGUACUCGAUGCUCUGUGGAUGCAACCUCAAUGGUAAAAUAAUUUAAGCUCAAAGUAAGAUAUUCUUUCAAUAAGAUGUAGACCUCUUACUGCAAACUCCUUUUGCAAAUUACCACUUGGUAAUCUCU